ACGAACGCUGGCGGCGUGCUUAACACAUGCAAGUCGAGCGGUAAGGCCCUUUCGGGGGUACACGAGCGGCGAACGGGUGAGUAACACGUGGGUGACCUGCCCUCAGCUCUGGGAUAAGCCUGGUAAACCGGGUCUAAUACUGGAUAUGACUCCAUGACGCAUGUUGUGGGGUGGAAAGCCUUGUGCGGCUGAGGAUGGGCCCGCGGCCUAUCAGCUUGUUGGUGGGGUGAUGGCCUACCAAGGCGACGACGGGUAGCCGGCCUGAGAGGGCGACCGGCCACACUGGGACUGAGACACGGCCCAGACUCCUACGGGAGGCAGCAGUGGGGAAUCUUGCGCAAUGGGCGAAAGCCUGACGCAGCGACGCCGCGUGAGGGAUGACGGCCUGGU
Molecule: ribosomal RNA, 390 nt
Filed under: uncultured bacterium
Lineage: Bacteria
Description: bacterial SSU rRNA
Rfam family: Bacterial small subunit ribosomal RNA
Source: RNAcentral